UACGUAGGGGGCGAGCGUUGUCCGGAUUCAUUGGGCGUAAAGCGCGCGUAGGCGGCCCCGCAAGUCGGCCGUGAAAUCUCCCGGCUCAACUGGGAGGGGGCUGUUCAGACGGCGUGGCUUGAGGCUCGGAGGGGGGCGUGGAAUUCCGGGUGGAGCGGUGAAAUGCGUAGAGAUCCGGAGGAACACCGACGGCGAAGGCAGCGCCCUGGACGAGACCUGACGCUCAGGCACGAAAGCUGGGGGAGCAAACAGG
Molecule: ribosomal RNA, 253 nt
Filed under: uncultured bacterium
Lineage: Bacteria
Description: partial 16S ribosomal RNA
Rfam family: Bacterial small subunit ribosomal RNA
Source: RNAcentral